UGCGCAGGUGGGUUGGCAAGUUCGAUGUGAAAGCCCCGGGCUUAACCCGGGAAUGGCAUUGGAUACUGCUGAUCUGGAGGGUCGGAGGGGGGACUGGAAUUCUUGGUGUAGCAGUGAAAUGCGUAGAUAUCAAGAGGAACACCAGUGGCGAAGGCGAGUCCCUGGACGAUACCUGACACUGAGGCACGAAAGCAGGAGCAAACA
RNAcentral lists this ribosomal RNA (204 nucleotides) under uncultured bacterium. RNAcentral's name for it is "partial 16S ribosomal RNA". It matches the Rfam family "Bacterial small subunit ribosomal RNA", at positions 568 to 774 of the family's 1533-position model. The record is from RNAcentral.